GAUGAACGCUGGCGGCGUGCCUAACACAUGCAAGUCGAGCGGCCACACAAUGAGCUUUUUCUUCUACCGUUAGCGGCUGACGGGUGAGUAACGCGUACAUAACAUUCUUCUAUUACUGGGAUGACUACGUAAAACCACUGCCACUACCACAUAAUAUAUUCUACCGCUUGAUUCAAUAGAGAUUCACGGUUUUCCCGUUUCAUAUAGCCGGUUUCGCGUCGGAUUAGCUAGUUGGUAAGGUAACGGCUUACCAAGGCGACGAUGCGUAGCUGACCUGAGAGGAUGAUCAGCCACACUGGAACUGAGACACGGUCCAGACUCCUACGGGAGGCAGCAGUAGGGAAUCUUGGGCAAUGGGCGCAAGCCUGACGCAGCAACGCCGCGUGAGUGAAGAAGGUCUUCGGGUCGUAAAACUCUGUUAUUGGGGAAGAAAAGCAGUGUGUGAAACCAUCGACGUUUUGACGGUACCCAAAGAAAAAGCAACGGCUAACUUCGUG
Molecule: ribosomal RNA, 497 nt
Filed under: uncultured bacterium
Lineage: Bacteria
Description: partial 16S ribosomal RNA
Rfam family: Bacterial small subunit ribosomal RNA
Source: RNAcentral